RNAcentral lists this ribosomal RNA (253 nucleotides) under uncultured bacterium. Its description in RNAcentral is "partial 16S ribosomal RNA". It matches the Rfam family "Bacterial small subunit ribosomal RNA", at positions 524 to 776 of the family's 1533-position model. The record is from RNAcentral.
UACGUAGGUGACAAGCGUUGUCCGGAUUUACUGGGCGUAAAGAGCGCGCAGGCGGUCGUUCAAGUCGAGUGUGAAAGCCCCCGGCUCAACUGGGGAGGGUCACUCGAUACUGAUCGACUCGAAGGCAGGAGAGGGAAGUGGAAUUCCCGGUGUAGUGGUGAAAUGCGUAGAUAUCGGGAGGAACACCAGUGGCGAAGGCGACUUCCUGGGCUGUUCUUGACGCUGAGGCGCGAAAGCUAGGGGAGCAAACGGG